CGGCGAGUGAAGCGGCAAAAGCUCAAAUUUGAAAUCUGGCGUCUUCGACGUCCGAGUUGUAAUUUGAAGAAGGCGACUUUGUAGCUGGUCCUUGUCUAUGUUCCUUGGAACAGGACGUCAUAGAGGGUGAGAAUCCCGUGUGGCGAGGAUCCCAGUUAUUUGUAAAGUGCUUUCGACGAGUCGAGUUGUUUGGGAAUGCAGCUCUAAGUGGGUGGUAAAUUCCAUCUAAAGCUAAAUAUUGGCGAGAGACCGAUAGCGAACAAGUACAGUGAUGGAAAGAUGAAAAGAACUUUGAAAAGAGAGUGAAAAAGUACGUGAAAUUGUUGAAAGGGAAGGGCAUUUGAUCAGACAUGGCGUUUGCUUCGGCUUUCGCUGGGCCAGCAUCAGUUUUAGCGGUUGGAUAAAUCCUCGGGAAUGUGGCUCUGCUUCGGUAGAGUGUUAUAGCCCGUGGGAAUACAGCCAGCUGGGACUGAGGAUUGCGACUUUUGUCAAGGAUGCUGGCGUAAUGGUUAAAUGCCGCCC
RNAcentral lists this ribosomal RNA (522 nucleotides) under Pichia kudriavzevii. Its description in RNAcentral is "partial large subunit ribosomal RNA". It matches the Rfam family "Eukaryotic large subunit ribosomal RNA", at positions 87 to 650 of the family's 3401-position model. The record is from RNAcentral. Lineage: Eukaryota; Fungi; Ascomycota; Pichiomycetes; Pichiales; Pichiaceae.